AAGAAUUAUGGUUUGAACUACGUAACAAUUACCUAGACAUCUUUUGGACUUCAGUUAACCUGUGUCAAGCACUGCAGUAGAUUCUGAAGAUACAAAAAUAAAUAAAACAUUCCUGCCCUCAAGACACUUACACUCUUAUGUGUAACACUGUGUGACCAUUCAUCUGGGCCUUCCUGAGACAGUCUUGGUUUACACCUGUUUUCCCAAUCAGAGCAUCACUGCCUUUCCCACUAUUCUCCUGCAGAAGAGCAGGGGAAGGAAGCACCAGGGUCCAUCAUGGAGGAAGGGUGUUGCCCUGAACAGCUGACACACCCUCAGCAAUGAAGCUUAGUUUUGCUGGAACUUUUCAGUUGUGACAACUGAGAUUCAGAGAUGUCCAAUCUACUCACAUAAAUAGCCUGGUUGAAGAUGGCUGAGCGUAAAACAGAAUGCAAGUCAGCUGGAGCACGUACUACUGGAGGCAGAGCCCCAUGAGAAGGGGCCAAGAACCCGCACCCAUCAAAAUCAAGAAGAAAGGCUGAACCCGGAGAGAAAAGGGAGAGGCGAGGAAACUGAGUCUUGAAGAGGUUAAGUUGCUUCAGGUCAUGGCUGGUCUGCUCUUCCUUGGUCCUCUGUGCCAACCCAUGAAAAAACUGCAUGCUAUGACCAAAUUCAGGAUCAAGUUUAUCCUGUCUAGAGCCAGCUCUCCAAAGCAACUGAUGUUGCCAUGCAGAUCCCUUGGUUGCUAUGAGAUGGUAACAUCACUCUGCCCCACCAUUGGCCAGUGCCUCCUCAGCUGCGGUGCCUCCCAGGCUGUGUGGUUCUCACGCGGGCCACUGACACAGAGCUGUUACUAUGGUGAACUUUACAAUUUCCUUUGAUUGGUGGAUUUCAGAAAUAGGCCAUCAGCGGAAUUCAUUAUAUUCAGCUAAGUAAAAAUGAAAAAUAAAUACUAUAACUUUCCCCUCAUCACUAACAUGAAGGAAACGUGACCCUUCAUGACAUAAUAAAUCGCUGUUCGGUAACUUAGGAUCCUUCAGGGGACUGAAGCGGGAUGAUCCUCCUAUGCCAAAUUUGGGUGGGAAAGAUAUUCCCUGUAGCUUUGAGUCGACUCUUCAGAGUUAAGGGCAGUGGGCCAACCAGAGUUGGAACUUCAGAGUUGGGAGGAGGUGUGGGAUGGGGCAUGCAUUGAAAUGUAAACUCUAUUGUCUCUGAAGUGAUGGGUGAUGCUGGGGGCCUGAGUGUGGAGGGCAGUUUUACAUCUCAGGACAAUGUUUUCUCAGAUGCUCUUCCAGAAAGAAAAGCCAGGAGUACUCCUGGCUGGAGGCGGCAUGCCUGAGGUCAGAGUCAAAGUAGGGUUUGUGCUGUCUGAAUCCUUUCUCCCACUCUCCCCAGCCUGGCUCAGCUUCUCAGCUUCUCAGGUGGAUUGGUGAGUCCUGGCCAAUUACGCUUCAGCUCAUCUCUACUCUCAGCAAAUAGGAAAAGGGAGUGAAGGACUGAGUUUUAACUCUUCUAAUUUCGUAACCUGACUCUCUAUAAGAAAAAGUAGGAGAAAGACUGAAGAACCCGAGAGAACAGGCCUCUGAGCCCAAGCCAAGCCAUCGCAUCCCCUGUGACUUGCCCGUAUAUAUGCCCAGAUGGCCUGAAGUAACUGAAGAAUCACAAAAGAAGUGAAUAUGCCUUGCCCCACCUUGACUGAUGACAUUCCACCACAAAAGAAGUGUAAAUGGCCGGUCCUUGCCUUAACUGAUGACAUUACCUUGUGAAAGUCCUUUUCCUGGCUCAUCCUGGCUCAAAAAGCACCCCCACUGAGCAUCUUGCGACUCCCACUCCUGCCCACUGAGCACCUUGUGACCCCCACUCCUGCCUGCCAGAGAACAAACCCCCUUUGACUGUAAUUUUCCUUUACCUACCCAAAUCCUAUAAAACGGCUCCACCCUUA
Long non-coding RNA from Homo sapiens (human), 1921 nucleotides. NCBI's taxonomy places the organism in Eukaryota, Metazoa, Chordata, Mammalia, Primates, Hominidae. The record is from Ensembl.